RNAcentral lists this long non-coding RNA (211 nucleotides) under Capsicum annuum. RNAcentral's name for it is "long non-coding RNA (CANN_LNC010793)". Lineage: Eukaryota; Viridiplantae; Streptophyta; Magnoliopsida; Solanales; Solanaceae. The record is from RNAcentral.
GGGCCAUGUCCUCAGUCAGCUGGAGAUGCUCCAUAUCAUGUCUAAUCACUUCCCUCCAGUAUUUCUUCGGCGUACCUCUACUCCUCCUGAAACCAUCUAUAGCUAGCCUCUCACACCUCCGGACUAGGGCAUCCACGCCCCUCCUCAUCACAUGCCCGAACCAUCUCAGUCUUCCUUCCCGCAUCUUGUCAUCUACCGAAGCUACCCCCAC